Peromyscus maniculatus bairdii (prairie deer mouse) is the source of this 109-nucleotide small nuclear RNA. The record is from Ensembl. NCBI's taxonomy places the organism in Eukaryota, Metazoa, Chordata, Mammalia, Rodentia, Cricetidae.
AUGCAGAGGGCCUAGCACAUAUGCUAAAAUUGGAACGAUACAGAGAAGAUUAGCAUGGCCCCUGCGCAAGGUUGACCCAUAAAUUCGUGAAGCAUUUAUGUAUAAAUUU